Molecule: ribosomal RNA, 674 nt
Filed under: Inocybe jacobi
Lineage: Eukaryota; Fungi; Basidiomycota; Agaricomycetes; Agaricales; Inocybaceae
Description: eukaryotic LSU rRNA
Rfam family: Eukaryotic large subunit ribosomal RNA
Source: RNAcentral
UUGACCUCAAAUCAGGUAGGACUACCCGCUGAACUUAAGCAUAUCAAUAAGCGGAGGAAAAGAAACUAACAAGGAUUCCCUCAGUAACUGCGAGUGAAGUGGGAAAAGCUCAAAUUUGAAAUCUGGCAGUCUUACAAGCUGCCCGAAUUGUAAUCUAAAGAAGUGUUAUCUGUGCUGGACCAUGUAAAAGUCUUCUGGAAUGGAGCAUCAUAGAGGGUGAGAAUCCCGUCUUUGACAUGGACUACCAGUAUGUUAUGGUACACUCUCAAAGAGUCGAGUUGUUUGGGAAUGCAGCUCAAAAUGGGUGGUAAAUGCCAUCUAAAGCUAAAUAUUGGCGAGAGACCGAUAGCGAACAAGUACCGUGAGGGAAAGAUGAAAAGAACUUUGGAAAGAGAGUUAAACAGUACGUGAAAUUGCUGAAAGGGAAACGCUUGAAGUCAGUCAUGUCAGCUAGAAAUCAAGCUUGCUUCUGCAAGGUGCACUUUCUAGUUUGAUAGGUCAGCAUCAAUUUUGACUGUCGGAUAAAGGCAUUGGGAAUGUGGCAUCUUUGGAUGUGUUAUAGCCCAUUGUUGGAUACGACGGUCAGGAUUGAGGAACUCAGCAUGCCUCUUGGGGCCAGGUUUUGACCAUGUUCAUGCUUAGGAUGCUGGCGUAAUGGCUUUAAUCGACCCGUC